RNAcentral lists this ribosomal RNA (885 nucleotides) under Amanita brunneofuliginea. Its description in RNAcentral is "eukaryotic LSU rRNA". It matches the Rfam family "Eukaryotic large subunit ribosomal RNA", at positions 79 to 927 of the family's 3401-position model. The record is from RNAcentral. Lineage: Eukaryota; Fungi; Basidiomycota; Agaricomycetes; Agaricales; Amanitaceae.
CCUAGUAACUGCGAGUGAAGCGGGAAAAGCUCAAAUUUGAAAUCUGGCAGUCUUUUUUUUCUUCUUUGGCUGUCCGAGUUGUAAUCUAGAGAAGUGCUUACCUGCACUGGACCAUGUAUAAGUCUCCUGGAAUGGAGCGUCACAGAGGGUGAGAAUCCCGUCUUUGACAUGGACCGCCAGUGUGUUGUGGUGUGCUCUCAAAGAGUCGAGUUGUUUGGGAAUGCAGCUCUAAAUGGGUGGUAAACUCCAUCUAAAGCUAAAUAUUGGCGAGAGACCGAUAGCGAACAAGUACCGUGAGGGAAAGAUGAAAAGGACUUUGGAAAGAGAGUUAAACAGUAUGUGAAAUUGUUGAAAGGGAAACGCUUGAAGUCAGUUAUGUUGGCUAGGGAUCAACCUAGCUGUUUUUUGCUGGGUGAAUUUCCUAGUCUGACAGGCCAACAUCAGUCUUGACUGCUGGAAAAGAGCAGAGGGAAUGUGGCACCUUUGGGUGUGUUAUAGCCUUUUGUCAUAUGUGGCAGUUGGGACUGAGGGAUGCASCAUGCCGCGAGGCUGGGUUUCUGACCACGUUCAUGCUCAGGAUGUUGGCUUUUAAUGGCUUCAAUCGACCCGUCUUGAAACACGGACCAAGGAGUCUAACAUGCCUGCGAGUGUUUGGGUGGGGAAAACCCUUGUGCACAAUGAAAGUGAAAGUUGAGAUCCCUGUCAUGGGGAGCAUCGACGCCCGGACCUGAGCUUUUAGCGACGGAUCCGCGGUAGAGCAUGCAUGUUGGGACCCGAAAGAUGGUGAACUAUGCCUGAAUAGGGCAAAGCCAGAGGAAACUCUGGUGGAGGCUCGUAGCGAUUCUGACGUGCAAAUCGAUCGUCAAAUUUGGGUAUAGGGGCGAA